RNAcentral lists this ribosomal RNA (253 nucleotides) under uncultured bacterium. RNAcentral's name for it is "partial 16S ribosomal RNA". It matches the Rfam family "Bacterial small subunit ribosomal RNA", at positions 524 to 776 of the family's 1533-position model. The record is from RNAcentral.
UACGAAGGGGGCUAGCGUUGUUCGGAAUUACUGGGCGUAAAGCGCGUGUAGGCGGUUCUUUAAGUCAGGGGAGAAAUGCCAGGGCUCAACCUUGGAACUGCCUUUGAUACUGGAGACCUUGAGUCCGGGAGAGGUGAGUGGAACUGCGAGUGUAGAGGUGAAAUUCGUAGAUAUUCGCAAGAACACCAGUGGCGAAGGCGGCUCACUGGCCCGAUACUGACGCUGAGGCACGAAAGCGUGGGGAGCAAACAGG